This 346-nucleotide transfer-messenger RNA is filed under the name Porphyrobacter sp. It matches the Rfam family "Alphaproteobacteria transfer-messenger RNA". From Rfam's summary of the family: Bacterial tmRNA, also known as 10Sa RNA or SsrA, is named for its dual tRNA and mRNA-like properties. Its role is to liberate the mRNA from a stalled ribosome. Lineage: Bacteria; Pseudomonadati; Pseudomonadota; Alphaproteobacteria; Sphingomonadales; Erythrobacteraceae. The record is from RNAcentral.
UCACUUCACAUUCAGAAAUGCCGCGCUAUAUCAGCCGUGCCGGUCUUGACCGGAUAUGGCGAUAAAUGGCUGCGUACAAUAGAUGCAACGGACCCGGGGGCAGUACCCGGCGGCUCCACCAGAAUCUGCGGCUCGCCGCAUGUCCUGAUGGGGCCGAACCAGGAUCGACGUGUGUUGAAAAGCGUAGUUUUUGCCCGGGCUGAGUAACCCGCAUAAGGCUCAAAACCCAUAAGUGCCAACGACAACGAAGCACUUGCUCUCGCCGCGUAAUGUGACGGCUUAACGGCCUGAAUUUACAAAGCUACGAGCACGGUUCGGACCGAACCGGGUAACAGAAUCGGAGACC